This 425-nucleotide ribosomal RNA is filed under the name uncultured bacterium. Its description in RNAcentral is "partial 16S ribosomal RNA". It matches the Rfam family "Bacterial small subunit ribosomal RNA", at positions 354 to 796 of the family's 1533-position model. The record is from RNAcentral.
GUGGGGAAUCUUAGACAAUGGGGGAAACCCUGAUCUAGCCAUGCCGCGUGAGCGAUGAAGGCCUUAGGGUUGUAAAGCUCUUUCAGCUGGGAAGAUAAUGACGGUACCAGCAGAAGAAGCCCCGGCUAACUCCGUGCCAGCAGCCGCGGUAAUACGGAGGGGGCUAGCGUUGUUCGGAAUUACUGGGCGUAAAGCGCGCGUAGGCGGACCAGAAAGUUGGAGGUGAAAUCCCAGGGCUCAACCUUGGAACUGCCUUCAAAACUCCUGGUCUGGAGUUCGAGAGAGGUAGGGGGAAUUCCGAGUGUAGAGGUGAAAUUCGUAGAUAUUCGGAGGAACACCAGUGGCGAAGGCGGCUCACUGGCUCGAUACUGACGCUGAGGUGCGAAAGCGUGGGGAGCAAACAGGAUUAGAAACCCCAGUAGUCC